This 460-nucleotide ribosomal RNA is filed under the name uncultured bacterium. RNAcentral's name for it is "partial 16S ribosomal RNA". It matches the Rfam family "Bacterial small subunit ribosomal RNA", at positions 338 to 795 of the family's 1533-position model. The record is from RNAcentral.
CCUACGGGGGGCAGCAGUGAGGAAUAUUGGUCAAUGGGCGCGAGCCUGAACCAGCCAAGUCGCGUGAGGGAAGACGGCCCUACGGGUUGUAAACCUCUUUUGCCGGGGAGCAACGGGCGCCACGUGUGGCGCCACUGAGAGUACACGGAGAAAAAGCAUCGGCUAACUCCGUGCCAGCAGCCACGGUAAUACGGAGGAUGCGAGCGUUAUCCGGAUUUGUUGGGUUAAAGGGGUGCGUGGGGGGAGCGUAAAGUCAGUGGUCAAAUUGAGGGGCUCAACCCCUUCCCGCCAUUGAAACUGGCGCUCUUGAGUGGAAGAGAAGUAUGCGGAAUGCGUGGUGUAGCGGUGAAAUGCAUAGAUAUCACGCAGAACCCCGAUUGCGAAGGCAGCAUGCCGGCUUCCGACUGACGCUGAAGCACGAAAGCGUGGGGAUCGAACAGGAUUAGAUACCCGGGUAGUC